RNAcentral lists this ribosomal RNA (600 nucleotides) under uncultured bacterium. Its description in RNAcentral is "bacterial SSU rRNA". It matches the Rfam family "Bacterial small subunit ribosomal RNA", at positions 94 to 700 of the family's 1533-position model. The record is from RNAcentral.
AGCGGCGUACGGGUGCGGAACACGUGUGCACUGCUUUAUCUGGGGGAUAGCCUUUCGAAAGGAAGAUUAAUACCCCAUAAUAUGUUGAAUGGCAUCAUUCGACAUUGAAAACUCCGGUGGAUAGAGAUGGGCACGCGCAAGAUUAGAUAGUUGGUGAGGUAACGGCUCACCAAGUCUACGAUCUUUAGGAGGCCUGAGAGGGUGAUCCCCCACACUGGUACUGAGACACGGACCAGACUCCUACGGGAGGCAGCAGUGAGGAAUAUUGGACAAUGGGUGAGAGCCUGAUCCAGCCAUCCCGCGUGAAGGACGACUGCCCUAUGGGUUGUAAACUUCUUUUGUAUAGGGAUAAACCUACCCUCGUGAGGGUAGCUGAAGGUACUAUACGAAUAAGCACCGGCUAACCCCGUGCCAGCAGCCGCGGUAAUAUGGAGGGUGCAAGCGUUAUCCGGAUUUAUUGGGUUUAAAGGGUUCGUAAGGCGGAAUCUGUAAAGUCAGUGGGUUGGAAAUUCUCCACAGGUUUUAAUUGUGGAAAUUGGCAUUGGAUUANUUGGGAGGGGUCNUUGGAGUNGUUGGUUGAAAGUUAAGUUUGGAAAUUAA